UCUCUGGGAGAGGAGGAUCUGAGAGAAAAGAAGGGCUGAAAAGUGUGGGACAUCAGAACCACUAACUCUUGCAUGAGAGAACAAGAGUGAAGGAUAUAUCAGCACAACUUCUCUGCUCCAACUAGUCUACAUUGCAAAGCAUCUCCUAGUGUCUUUGGAAGAAGGAUCUAUGUGCCCUCAGAUUGAUAAUGAUAAGAACUAGAACUGUGAGGACUGCCACGUGACUGUAUUCCUGAGCGAUACGCAGAAUCUUGUGAAAGACUACUAAAGUGACCAUGUUCCUUAGCGGUACUAGAGUCUGACUGUACAGGUGAAGACUGUACAUGUCUGGUUGUAUCACGGUGAGAGGAUCCGGGGUGUCUGGAGCCAUCUCUUGACUGCUCCCGAGAAGAUCCAUGACGGUUUCUGGAAGCAGACUCAGAUCGCCUCUCAGAGUCCUCUGGGUAUGCCUCACUGUCACUGUCCUGGCUAACACUGGAUCCCUGGCGCCUGCUUCUCCUGGACCCCGCUGAUUCGCCCUGGCCGGACUG
RNAcentral lists this long non-coding RNA (530 nucleotides) under Pan troglodytes (chimpanzee). Its description in RNAcentral is "long non-coding RNA NONPTRT000471". Lineage: Eukaryota; Metazoa; Chordata; Mammalia; Primates; Hominidae. The record is from RNAcentral.